AGAAUCAACGCUGGCGGCGUGCCUAACACAUGCAAGUCGCACGAGAAAGGGGAGCAAUCCCUGAGUACAGUGGCGCACGGGUGAGUAACACGUGAAUAAUCUACCUCCGAGUGGGGAAUAACUGAGAGAAAUCUUAGCUAAUACCGCAUAACACUUACGAGUCAAAGCAGCAAUGCGCUUGGAGAGGAGUUCGCGGCAGAUUAGUUAGUUGGCGGGGUAAUGGCCCACCAAGACGAUGAUCUGUAUCCGGCCUGAGAGGGCGCACGGACACACUGGAACUGAAACACGGUCCAGACUCCUACGGGAGGCAGCAGUGGGGAAUUUUGCGCAAUGGGGAAACCCUGACGCAGCAACGCCGCGUGGAGGAUGAAGCCCUUGGGUGUAAACUCCUUUCGAUCGGGAAGAUAAUGACGGUACCGAUAUAAGAAGCCCCGGCUAACUUCGCGCCAGCAGCCGC
Molecule: ribosomal RNA, 457 nt
Filed under: uncultured bacterium
Lineage: Bacteria
Description: SSU rRNA
Rfam family: Bacterial small subunit ribosomal RNA
Source: RNAcentral